CCUACGGGAGGCAGCAGUGAGGAAUAUUGGUCAAUGGACGAGAGUCUGAACCAGCCAAGUAGCGUGAAGGAUGACUGCCCUAUGGGUUGUAAACUUCUUUUAUCAAGGAAUAAAACGAGGCACGUGUGCCUUUUUGCAUGUACUUUAUGAAUAAGGAUCGGCUAACUCCGUGCCAGCAGCCGCGGUAAUACGGAGGAUCCGAGCGUUAUCCGGAUUUAUUGGGUUUAAAGGGAGCGUAGAUGGGUUGUUAAGUCAGUUGUGAAAUUUUGCGGCUCAACCGUAAUAUUGCAAUUGAUACUGGCAGUCUUGAGUACAGUUGAGGUAGGCGGAAUUCGUGGUGUAGCGGUGAAAUGCUUAGAUAUCACGAAGAACCCCGAUUGCGAAGGCAGCUUACUAAACUGUGACUGACAUUGAUGCUCGAAAGUGUGGGUAUCAAACAGGAUUAGAUACCCCAGUAGUC
Molecule: ribosomal RNA, 460 nt
Filed under: uncultured bacterium
Lineage: Bacteria
Description: partial 16S ribosomal RNA
Rfam family: Bacterial small subunit ribosomal RNA
Source: RNAcentral